Molecule: ribosomal RNA, 483 nt
Filed under: uncultured bacterium
Lineage: Bacteria
Description: bacterial SSU rRNA
Rfam family: Bacterial small subunit ribosomal RNA
Source: RNAcentral
AUUGAACGCUGGCGGCAUGCCUUACACAUGCAAGUCGAACGGCAGCACGGACUUCGGUCUGGUGGCGAGUGGCGAACGGGUGAGUAAUGUAUCGGAACGUACCUUCAGUGGGGGAUAACGUAGCGAAAGUUACGCUAAUACCGCAUAUUCUGUGAGCAGGAAAGCAGGGGAUCGCAAGACCUUGCGCUGAUUGAGCGGCCGAUAUCAGAUUAGCUAGUUGGUGAGGUAAAGGCUCACCAAGGCGACGAUCUGUAGCGGGUCUGAGAGGAUGAUCCGCCACACUGGAACUGAGACACGGUCCAGACUCCUACGGGAGGCAGCAGUGGGGAAUUUUGGACAAUGGGGGCAACCCUGAUCCAGCCAUGCCGCGUGAGUGAAGAAGGCCUUCGGGUUGUAAAGCUCUUUCGGCCGGGAAGAAAUCGCAUGGGCUAAUACCCUGUGCGGAUGACGGUACCGGCAUAAGAAGCACCGGCUAACUACGUG